UGGGGAAUUUUGGACAAUGGGCGAAAGCCUGAUCCAGCCAUGCCGCGUGCAGGAUGAAGGCCUCCGGGUUGUAAACUGCUUUUGUACGGAACGAAAAGACUCUGGUUAAUACCUGGGGUCCAUGACGGUACCGUAAGAAUAAGCACCGGCUAACUACGUGCCAGUAGCCGCGGUAAUACGUAGGGUGCAAGCGUUAAUCGGAAUUACUGGGCGUAAAGCGUGCGCAGGCGGUUAUAUAAAGACAGAUGUGAAAUCCCCGGGCUCAACCUGGGAACUGCAUUUUGUGACUGUAUAGCUAGAGUACGGCAGAGGGGGGAUGGAAUCCCGCGUGUAGCAGUGAAAUGCGUAGAUAUGCGGAGGAACACCGAUGGCGAAGGCAAUCCCCUGGGCCUGUACUGACGCUCAUGCACGAAAAGCGUGGGGAGCAAACAGGAUUAGAUACCCUGGUAGUCCACGCCCUAAAACGAUGUCAACUGGUUGUUGGGUCUUCACUGACUCAGUAACGAAGCUAACGCGUGAAGUUGACCGCCUGGGGAGUA
RNAcentral lists this ribosomal RNA (539 nucleotides) under uncultured bacterium. RNAcentral describes it as "partial 16S ribosomal RNA". It matches the Rfam family "Bacterial small subunit ribosomal RNA", at positions 355 to 882 of the family's 1533-position model. The record is from RNAcentral.